This 497-nucleotide ribosomal RNA is filed under the name uncultured bacterium. RNAcentral's name for it is "partial 16S ribosomal RNA". It matches the Rfam family "Bacterial small subunit ribosomal RNA", at positions 28 to 507 of the family's 1533-position model. The record is from RNAcentral.
GACGAACGCUGGCGGCGUGCCUAAUACAUGCAAGUUGAGCGCUGAAGGUUGGUACUUGUACCAACUGGAUGAGCAGCGAACGGGUGAGUAACGCGUGGGGAAUCUGCCUUUGAGCGGGGGACAACAUUUGGAAACGAAUGCUAAUACCGCAUAAAAACUUUAAACACAAGUUUUAAGUUUGAAAGAUGCAAUUGCAUCACUCAAAGAUGAUCCCGCGUUGUAUUAGCUAGUUGGUGAGGUAAAGGCUCACCAAGGCGAUGAUACAUAGCCGACCUGAGAGGGUGAUCGGCCACAUUGGGACUGAGACACGGCCCAAACGCCUACGGGAGGCAGCAGUAGGGAAUCUUCGGCAAUGGACGAAAGUCUGACCGAGCAACGCCGCGGGAGUGAAGAAGGUUUUCGGAUCGUAAAACUCGGUUGGUAGAGAAGAACGUUGGUGAGAGUGGAAAGCUCAUCAAGUGACGGUAACUACCCAGAAAGGGACGGCUAACUACGUG